RNAcentral lists this ribosomal RNA (439 nucleotides) under uncultured soil bacterium. Its description in RNAcentral is "bacterial SSU rRNA". It matches the Rfam family "Bacterial small subunit ribosomal RNA", at positions 26 to 491 of the family's 1533-position model. The record is from RNAcentral.
AGGAUGAACGCUGGCGGCGUGCCUAAUACAUGCAAGUCGAGCGGUAAGGCCCCUUCGGGGGGUACACGAGCGGCGGACGGCUGAGUAACACGUAGGAACGUACUCCAAACUGAGGGAUAAGCACCAGAAAUGGUGUCUAAUACCGCAUGUGCUCCAAGGAGUAAAGCUUCGGCGGUUUGGGAACGGCCUGCGCCCGAUUAGCUAGUUGGUGAGGUAAUAGCUCACCAAGGCGACGAUCGGUAGCUGGUCUGAGAGGAUGAUCAGCCAGACUGGGACUGAGAACGGCCCAGACUCCUACGGAGGCAGCAGUAGGGAAUUUCCACAAUGGGCGAAAGCCUGAUGGAGCAACGCCGCGUGCAGGAUGAAUGCCGUUGGGUAGUAAACUGUACUUUUACCUGUAGACGUAACUAGUAGGACGGUAGCGAGUAUAGUAAUAAGG